This 8503-nucleotide long non-coding RNA is filed under the name Marmota monax (woodchuck). The record is from RNAcentral. Lineage: Eukaryota; Metazoa; Chordata; Mammalia; Rodentia; Sciuridae.
AGGGAGUCUUGCAAAAAGGAAUGUUUACUCAUGAGGCACCAAUUUCCUGGAGAUGGGAGGCAACCUCAAAUCCGCCUCCCUGGGGACAAACAGGGACUUAGAGAGGCUGCCUUCACUGCCAGCCAUGACUCUUCACUGGGGCCUGCGGCUGCCAGGUGGGUAAGGAACAGGGAGAGAAGCCUGGCCUCUCCUCGGGGGUCUGUCUCCUCUUCUACCUCAAACCUAGGGUCAGGCUCCUUCUGAGCUUGACACGUAGGCUUGCUAAUGCGAAAUUCAUCAACCCUGGAUUUACCUAACCUGUCUUGUCCUCUUUUAAGAUGAGGACACCGAGGUAGAGUAAUUAAGAUUUGCAGGGACAUUGACCUGUCAGCUUUUACAAUAUCCUGCCCCAGAGUCCUGGAGGGGUACCUAGAAGUCUAGUCAUUGCCCUGCACCUUCUAGGGACUGCACAGCUGAGUUAUGGGCCUUCUAAGGUCAUGGUCUGAUGGACAGACAUCCUGAGCAGCCAAGGAAGAUCGCCCCUGCAGUGGUGGGGACCUCUCUGGUCCCUAGAACUGCAGAACCAGAACUGAGAUGAUGAUCAACCAGACACAGUUUGACCAAGAAACUGCUUUAUUGUGUAGACCUCCUGAUACGGCCCCAGUUCUUCCUCUAGUUGAACCCAAAGCUCAAUACCCUGAAGACAGGAUGGAGACUCUUGAUCUCGCUGGCUUCCCAGUUUGGCCAUCUUGAUUAAAGUUCCUCUCCUGCUUUUCGCCCUUUCUUUUUUCCCUUUUGGUUUCUGGGGUGAGUGUCCAGAGCUGGUUUGUUGGGACCCCCAGAGUUGGGGAUCUGGCCUUGAACCCAGUGAGAGGGAUAGAGUUUAGAGGUCUUUGGGGUUAAGGAGGCUGGGUGGUCUAAGGCAUGAGGAAAGUGAUUGGAGUAAUGAAUAGGGGAGUCUCUGGUGGUCCGACAUGUGUAGUCAAAUGGCCUUAGCUGUUCCCAGGACACAUGUUCAGCCAAUGACAUCUUUAGCAUUAUUUGUGUGGAGCUUUUGACUAUCCCCAUGGACGUGUCAGUGGCUUCAGCUGGUUUGAGCUGGACAAGGCUUCCUCCAAACUGCCGAGAAACAGCGUUCACAAUUGUGACCGUAGUGACCGGAGCUGUUGUCGGCCAUAAGCUAGUGAGGGGUUUGCUCAUCAUUUAGCUAAACAACAUCUCAACUCAGCAAUAAGAGAAUUAACCAGAACAAGGGAAGAUGAGAUCCUGUUCAAGUUUUCUCUUGUUGUCAGAAACAAGUGUCUCAGGUUGUCUGUGAGAGGAGAGAUCUCUGGAAAAGGGUUCUAAGGAGACGGGUGGGGGGCUUGGCUCAGGACCAGAGGGGUCCUCACUUGAUGGAAAGGAACUUCAGCCCAUGUCAGGAGAGGCACAGGUAGAGACUUAGUUGGAAAAGCAAGGCACACACCUUCAGGGGAGAGCAUGCCCUCUGAAGAGUGAGACAUGCUUUUGGGAUUCUCUUAAAGAAACUUGGUGAAGGGUGGUCAUGGGAAGGUGUGUGAGGUGACAUCAGUCUGUCAUUCUCAGGAUCCUUAGGCUGAUGAGGUCCCCAUUAUCUGAUCCAGUAGAUCACCUUGGAAAGUCCUCUGAUUUCUAGAUUCCUUAAAAUACCAUAUCUCUCUUCACUUCAUCUAUUUAUUGGUGGAUUAACUAAUCGUGCACAAAGCAAUUUUUACAAUUGGGUAAUUUAAAGUGACUUUAAGAUUUACAGAUUUCCCAGAAAUUUGGGAUAACAGGCCUGGGAGAGAGACCGACUUGGGGAGUGACAGGCCUGGAAAUAUACACAGAACUUCAGAGUAACAUUGUAAAAUUCCUUGUCCUUCCUUUAUGUCUCCUUUCUACCUAUUUUAAAAAAUUUCUUCCAUCCUACCUCAGCAUCUUUAGGACAAGAGAUAGCUUUGCAUUUGGAGCAAGGUGUCAGGGAGUUAGGUUCUUAGCCUCUCACAGGAUCUGGGACACAGAAAUACUGUCUCCUUAGAUGGUUCCCAGGCUCUUGAGGAGGCACCUUUGCAUUGUAGGAGGUUGACACCUUAGAGGGAUGGAGAAAGAAUCUAUAAUUUCAAAUUUUCUAAAGCAAAUGCUCUGAGGAAAGGUAGGCCAGGGCCUGCAGUCUGAAUCUGGCUGGAGCAGAUGGCGUCUGUUGGCGCUGGUUCUCAGCUUUGCAUUGCUAGGACCAGAAGACCCUAUGAGAACAACACAGGGGAGGAAAAGGUCAUCAGGGGCACACAGUUUCAGAGAUCUCAGUGCAUAAAUAGUUGAGCCCAUAGCUGUGGACCCAAAGUGAGGUAGAACAUCAUGGUGGAGGUUGAGGCAGAGGAGAGCAGUUCAGGAUAGGGCAAUCAGGAAGCAGAGAGCUCCGCUCACCACCGACAAAAUAUAAACCCCCAAGGGACAUCCCCAGUGACCCACCUCCUCCAGCCACCCCACCUGCCUGCGGUUACCACCCAGUUAAUCCAUAUUACAACUCCAUAAUAUCACCAACUCACUCUGAAUCCUCUUGCAUUGCCUCACAUGAACUUUCUGGGGACACCUCGCAUCUACACCAUGACACAUGGGUCUUUCUCAGGCAGGUGCUGAAGGGACUGGGUCAUCCCAGGAAGAUGCCGUGAGUUGCUAGGAUCCCUGUUACUGUUUAUUCAGUCCUCUGUGCAGGUUUGUGGGUGGUUGUGGUGUUAAACCAAAAAUCUCUCGAGAGCAGGGAGCGCUCUCCUAAAUAAGUCUGACUGUGCUUGGACUGGCAUGGGCUGAAAAUCUUUUCUGUCAGGAAAGCCAAGGGCCCCACAUGUUCUGAAUUGAGGGCCCCCUCUCCAGGAAUUCCUCCAGUGACAAAGCCUCAGUUGAGGGUCCCUAGAGAAGAGAAGCCAGGUCAAGGAGAGAUUGGUCAAGGCGAGGCUGUCCCUGUCCAUCAUGCUCCACCUACAGUUGUGCUCCUGUAUCUAGAAUGCAAACACGGGCCAUGCCAUUUAUCCUGAACUAGAGAGAAGAAGCAAACCAGAUGAGUCUCUCAUCUGGAGUCAGAGUAGGGAGAGCUACUGACCAGAGGCCAGACCAGAACAUCCUGGAAACAUGGUCACAUGUCCAUAUGGAUGAGUUCAUCUCACUUUGUCCUUAUUGGUGACGUGAUUGCUGAGGAAGCCUGAGCACAGGUAGAUGUGUGCAUGUUUCCCAGGGGUAACUCGCAGACGUCCAUGCAUGCGUGUUAAAUACCUUUAUUAGAGGGUAUGUUAGCAGUGCACAGAACAGCUUUCAUAAGAGGGUGAGUUUCUGGAAGAAGAGGCGCUAAGAGCUGUGGAAGGCUGGUCUUCAGCCAUAGCCUGGUGAGGCAGGGCAUGGCCUGGCGGAGGGCCUCUUGCUGGCUUGCUGUCCUCGUGUCAAGUUCUCACGUGGUGGAGGGAGAAGAGGGGCCAGCUCUCGGUACCUCUUCUCAUGAGGGCCUCCCUCUCAUGACCUCAUCGAGACCUAAUUACCUCCCAAAGGGCCCCGUCUCCGAACACCAUUGGACUGGGGUCAGAGUUUCAAUCUAUGAAUGUGGAGGACACAAUUCAGUCCAUAGGAUUCUUCCUCAAAAUUCAUGUCCUUGCAUGCAAAAUACAUGUAUUCCACGCCAACAGUCCCCAAAGUCUCCACUCAAGCCAGCAUCAACUCCAAAGUAAAGUCCAAAGUCUUCUAGGUCAUCUCAAUCAAAUGCGGGUGGAGAUGGGCUUGGUUCACCUUGAGGUGGGAUUCCUCCACUUAGGAGCCUGGGAAGCUAGACAGUUACCUGCCUCCAACGCCCUGUGGGGCAGGCAGAGGAGAGGCACUCCAGUUCCUAUGGGGAAGAAAUGGGGCAGGAGCCGGAGGGGGUUGGAUCCAGCGUGUCCAAAGCCCUAGCAUGAAUUCUGCUAAAUGUUAUUAAAGUUGGAUGAUAAUUUCCUUUGGUUUGAUUGUUCCCCAGGGCACUGGGUGGUGUGGCAGGUCUGGAGUCCCCACAGGGAUCCUGUCCCAUAGCUCUGUCCAGCACCCCAUCCGAGGCUCUUCGGGGUCGUCUUGCUCUCUGAAGCUCUGGCAGAAGCUUUCUGGCUGUUGGAACCCAGGCUGUGGCCCUGGUGGCCUCUGAUUUGCCUUUCGGUUGCUUUUCUCCCCCUUAGAGGAUGGCCCACCCAUGUCUGUAACUGAGCAGGUCCCUAGCAUUCCCCUGUCUGUCCUGACGAGCCAGGUAGCUGGUCUGCAGCUUGCCUUCAGUACAAAUGGGCAGGGCUUCUUCCUCCACACCCCAUAAGCUCUUUGUGGGGCGACGGGCUGGCCGCCCUGGUGUUGUCAGCUUUGUGAUUUGUGUAGGCUGAGAAUUUUUCAAAUCUUCAACUUCUGGUUUCUCUGUGCUUCACAACCCCCCUUUCAGCUCAUCUCUCUCCUUUCACAGUUUACUCUAAGCCUCAGGAGGAAGCAAGCCAGUCCUCAGCACUUGGUUUAGAAAUCUUCCAGCUAGAUACCCAAUGGCAUCCCUCUCCCUCUCCCUCUCCCCCCCUCCCCCUCCCUUUCCCACAGGCCCUCCCCGCAUAGAACACUGCGAUAAAUUUCAGUCAAGUUCUUUGCCACCUUAAAAUGAGGACUGCUCUUCCCCUGUUUCCAAUAACAUGCUUUUAAUUUUUGUCUGAGGAUCGCCCUUAGCAUUGAUAUGUCUAGUCUGCACUUUUAAGCCUUCACCUGUGACCCAGUUUCACAGUUGUGUUCACAUUUUUAGGUAUUUAUCACAGCGGCCUUCCACUUCUCUGUUGCCAAAAUCAAUUUCUGUCUGCUCAGAUGCUCAUGACAAAAUAUUAAAGCUUCAACUAUGGAAAUUUAUAUGCUCCCUGUUCUGGAAGCUGGAAUUCCCAAAUCAAGACGUCAACAUGGUUGUUUUCAACCAUGGCUGGUGAGGCCCUUUUGGGGGGUGGUAGAAAACCACCCUCUCACCGUCUCCACAUGACCAGCCAGGUCUCCCAUGUCUCGGGAAGGCUGCACCCUCAUGACAGCAGCUAAAUCUAACCUUCUCCCCCCAACCCUGCCUCCAACACCAUCAGGUCAUGAGAGGUUGGAUCUUCAACAUAUGAAUUUUGGGGGUGCUCUGUUCAGUCCAUAGCACCUGGGUAAGGCUGCUUGGGCCCCGAGCUUAUGGAACCCUCUGGAAAUCCCUCUGAAAUGUGAUUGCUUCUUGAAUAAUGAGAUGGAAAUCAACAUUUAUUGACAUUCUUUUAUAUGCAAAAAUCAUCUUUGGGUUCUUUGCCUGUGUCACCCUGUUGACUGACUGAAGUUCUAUAUAAUGGUACUUGAUAAUGACAAAUGCUAGUGUCUCUCACAGACAGACAUACAGCAAGCUCCACUCACCCUCCUAGCUGAAGGCCCAUGGCUGCCUCAUGGGAUGAGGUCUGGGGAGGUCCCUAGAAGGUUCUCGAGGUACACCACAGACACGAAUUUCAGGACAUGUCCAAAGGCACAGGUCAAGAUUCAUUUAGGAAGCCAGACUUAGUCAGGAAGGCGAAUAGGGAGUGUGUGUGCUCAGGGAGGGUCACAGUCUCUCACCAGUGAGACCCACCUCGGGGUCUUCCUCUUCUCCAUGGUGAGCACAACAGGCACCAGGGCGGUGUCCACGGAUGGGCUGGGUCCCUUUGACUGCGGAGCACAGAGCAGGGCACGGUGGCCUGGCUCCUUUUGACAUCCCCAGGUUGACGCUGUCUAGUUAAUGUGUACCACCUGGCCUGUCCCCGUCCCGGGGUCUUUCACAAUCUCCGCCUCUGCUUUCCAUCACUCUAAACGUACAUUGGUGAAUAUUGCACAGUUGCAUUCCUUUCCCUCCCUGCCCGCUGCGGCCUGCCGUCCUGUGUCCCCGUCCUGCCUCAGCCUGGCCUCCUGCCCGUGCCUGCUGGUCUGCAGCUCCUCACAGCUGCUCCUCCUCAGGCUCGAGCCAGAGCUGCUUUCCUGCUCUGAGGACCAUCAGGAAAUCUCCCCAAACCAGAAGGCUCUCUGGUGGUCCCCAGGCCUCUUUCAGGGAGGGGAGAAGCCCCCUGUUAGCCUUGGGUGCUUCAGAGGCUGGAGGGCGGCCCGCUGCCGAGGCCUGGGCUCUUCAUGGGUGCUCUGUGAACACCUGCUUCCCACCACUCGGGGAAGAGGGUAGGGUCGUGGCCCCUCUGUGCUAACUGGAGUCUGUCCUCGGGAUCUUAUCACCACGCACACCCUGGGUGACCUCUCAGACGUGGUGGCAUGGCAUUUUGGAAGGAGUAACUGUCCUUCCCCUAAGUCACCUUUCCCUGGGCUCCUUGCUCCUUUCCUGUCUGUUCUGCAACAUCUGGAGACACAGGACCUGCCUUCCCCUCCAGCUUUGGGCAGGACAAUGAUCCACGUAGGAGGGACAGAGAAGGGAGUCUGAUUUGGGGGGUUGUUUUAGGGAAAUAGAGUGUCUGGGACCCCAAAGGGAAGGACAGCUGGGCAGGAAGAGGCUCUACUGGCAGAUGUCUGGGUGCUGGUGGGCUCUGGGGAUGGGGAGAGGACAGUUGGUGCUGGGGAGGCCCGUGUUCCGCUUAUUUCCCAGAGCAAAGGCUGUGGCACCCUCACCCUGCAGAGGUCCCCUUCCCAUCGCUCUGGCUUGUGGUAGGAGAUUGUCCCAGCUCUGGGCUGUCACCCCACCGUGGGAGAACCCCUCGUGCAGGAGUGAGGUGAGACACACCUGGGAGGUGUCCGGUUGAACAGUAGAGCGAGGUGGAGUUGGCUUUCCUUAUGGGUGACUUGGUGUGACCUGGGGUGACCCUCUGGGAAGGAGACUCUGUGGAAAUGGUGGCGAGGAACUGGGAGGACCUGACAGCUUUUCUGGCCACAGCCCAGCUCCUGGCAGGGGGAGAACGGGCCCUGGGAGUCUCAUGGGGUCUUCAUAAUCACUCCCGAGAACUCACUGAUCUCCCCCCGGGCUCCCUCCAGGACCAGGACGCUUUCUCUUUACUCGGGUGCUUUUUGUGUCCGCCUCAGAGGCACCUCUGGGCUCAGAGAUCCGCAGCAGUUGCCUAUCAUGAGCAGAUGCCGCUUGUUCUGUUUUGUUCGUUUGCUGCUGUUUGUGGCUCUGGGGGAGUGAGCCAAGGUGCUUCCCACAGAACGCCAUCCCCAGCCCUUAAAAUUAAAAAAAAAAAAAAAAAAAAUAUAUAUAUAUAUAUAUAUAUAUAUAUAUAUUUAUUUAGACAGGGUCUCUCUAAGUUGCUUACGGCCUUGCUAAGUUGCCGAGGCUGGCUUUGAACUUGUAAUCUUCCUGCCUCAGCCUCGGGAUCUCUGGGAUGACAGGCGUGAGCCACGGUGCCCAGCUUCACUUGGGCUGUAAAGAGCACCGGGCUGCUGGGAUCCUCAACUCCACAAAUGAUAGCUGUCACACACUAUUUUAAAUACACUGAUUUCCUCCUCAGGAAAAUGUGGGGUUUGGGGUUCACCUGACUGAGACCUGGGGUUUGAGUGGAGAAGGAGGGGGCAUAUAACUUACGAAAUGUUGAAAACCACUGAAGAAUUUUCAGUGACUCUCUCUCACUGCCUGAGAACACUGCAGGGCUCUGGGGCUGGGAUCAGAUCCCAUCUCUGUCACUCCACGGCUGGCUCCUGGCAGGGGCACAACUCAAGAUGCUUAAGUGACGGGACUGAGUCCCCAACUCCAGGCUGGAGCCAUGUUUUGGGCAAACCCAGAGAAUAGCCUGAAAGCCAUCUCCAAGGGGCUGGCAGCCCAAGGCUUGGGUAGACGUGACUGGCAGGCCAUGCCUGAGCACCCAGCACCCUGGCCUUGUGCUGGGGGACCUGUGGGUGGCUCCUCCCUUCUGAACCUCAGAGCCCAUUCCUUCCCUCGCUAGUAACUCUUCUCCAAAUGCCUGCCUUGGCACAUCAGGCUGAGGUCCAGUCUGCCCCUGUCCGGGUCCAUCCCAGGGCUUCCUGACUCCCAUAUCUUGGGGGCCUAUUUUGAGUUUGGGGUCCUAUUGUUGUGUGUGAAAGUGGCUCAGGAGGAUUUUCCCCCAGGAGAGCAGGCAGCAGGUAUCAGCAAACUGACAGGGAGCAGAGAAAGGCACAGGUACGUGGAGGAGCAGGUAAGUGUAACUACGGAGAGGCCAUUUCAUAAAAAUACUGCCUUCCUUAUUUUUUUUUAAAGUCACCUAUUCUAAAGGUAUUAACCUGGGUUUUUUUUAGGCACUGGAUAUUGAGCCCUAAGCGUGCACUUUGCCACUGCGUCACAUAUACAGCUUUACCCCGGACGUUCUUGACAGCUUCUUUGCCGGCUUCAUGGUCCAAUUGAAGAGAUCAACCAGGCCAGGGCCAAAGGUAUGUUCUUAGCUGGUGUCUGGUGCUAUGGCUGGAAUGUGGUUUGUGCCCUCCAGAAUUUAUGUUGAAAUAAUUUGAUUUCUAGCUGACAGUGUUGCGGGGGGACCUUUAAGAAAUGUGUUUGGGCCCUCAGUGCCGCUCUUGGAGGACUGGGCUAGUUCUGGAGGGGCCA